RNAcentral lists this long non-coding RNA (545 nucleotides) under Vigna radiata. RNAcentral describes it as "long non-coding RNA (VRAD_LNC014374)". Lineage: Eukaryota; Viridiplantae; Streptophyta; Magnoliopsida; Fabales; Fabaceae. The record is from RNAcentral.
CUCAGAUCAAUUUAUUAAUUUUUAUUUUCAAGUCUUAUUAUUUUAAUUCACGUGAAUGAGAAAGCCUUUCGAGUCUCUUGGGAAGAACGAUAUUGGGUUUUACCAAUUAUAUUACUUGAACGAUUUGGUACGCUUGCCAAUCCGUCAACAUGUUUUUUUGGGGUCGUUGUCGGGGACUCAAGGUUUAUUUUUCUAGUAGUGUGAAUUGAUUGAAUUUGACUUGAUUGUAAUUAUUUUAGUUUUAUUUUUUUUUUAUUGCGUUUUAUUUUAUUUUUCUGUAAAAAUGCUUUUAGGGUGUGUUUCUUGUGUAUGCAGGAAACAAUACAUACUAGAAGCAAAGAAGACUAGCAAACUCUUUUAGAAGGUUUACCCGAAGCAAUUUCGCAGUCUUCGCUUGAGAUUCCUGUUUCAAAUUUUGAGGAGAUGGCUAACCAACCUCCUCCUAGACAUACAUUGGGGGACGCAGCAAACGUAGUAGGCCCCUUGAAAUUCAACAACAUUGCGGUUCCAGCUGAUAACACAACCAGCAUGGUGAUGAGUUCGGC